GAUAAAGGAACUUCUGCUAAAACCGCACACGUCCUGUGUGCAACGAGAAGCCGCCACUUCCUGUGGA
This 67-nucleotide small RNA is filed under the name Alteribacillus bidgolensis. RNAcentral describes it as "Bacillus sp. P4B(2010) Bacillaceae-1 RNA". It matches the Rfam family "Bacillaceae-1 RNA". Lineage: Bacteria; Bacillati; Bacillota; Bacilli; Caryophanales; Bacillaceae. The record is from Rfam by way of RNAcentral.